This 4005-nucleotide long non-coding RNA is filed under the name Mytilus galloprovincialis (Mediterranean mussel). Lineage: Eukaryota; Metazoa; Mollusca; Bivalvia; Mytilida; Mytilidae. The record is from RNAcentral.
UAAAAAUGUCAACCAGAUGCUCCGCAGGGUGCAGCUUUAUACGACCGCAGAGGUCGAACCCUAAAGUUGGGGCUAGCAUGGACACAACAUUCAAGCUUGAUACAGCUCUGAAUUUGGAUUUUGAUUAAAUAGUUGACACAGCAUAGGUUUCUGACACAGAAUGAAUGUGGUCUAAUGAACUUAAAUUUUGUUUUUUUUUGCUUUUGAGCAAUUCACUUUGCUGUUGAAUAUUAAUCCUCUCUCAAAAAAAAAUUUAAUUUCUGAAAUCUGAAAUGAGAAAAAUUGAACCCCCCUUUUUUUCACCUCCUCCUUUCCCCUAUUCCAACAAUGAUCUCAAUUCAAAUUUCUAAUGGAGUUUGCAACAAUAACUAAUUUGAAUACAUUAUAAAAUAUUAAAAUCUAAAAUGUCAUACAGUCAUGGUUAAAAUUAAUAUCAAUUAAUAGUAACUUCUAAAAAAAUAAAUGGGGUAUGUGUCCAAAGGUGAUGAUGCCCCCGCUAGCAUAUAACGUUAUAAAAGGACAUAACUCAAGAACUGGAAAAGUGAAGCUGCCAAAAAUUGAACUUAAACUGAGUUUAGAGGUAAUAAGCAUUAUAUACACAUUUCAUUAAAUUUAGUUGAGACAAACUUAUGUUAAGAGAACAGAAACUAAAAAAUUCUUCAAUUUUUAUACGACCCCAAAAAAAAUUUGGGAUCGUAUAAUGGCAUGAUUUCGUCGUUGUCGUCCGAAGACACAUUGGUUUCUGGAUAAGAACUUUAGUCAAAGUGAAUAGAUCUUCAUGAAAUUUUUCAGAAGGUUCAAUACCACAAAAGGAAGGUUGGGAUUGAUUUUGGAGAUGAUGGUCCCAACCGAUUAGGAAUUGGGGGCCAAAAGGGGCCCAAAACAAGCAUUUUUCUAGUUUCAUGAUAAUAACAUGUGUAGAAGUAUUUCAAUUGCUCUGAAAUCAUACCGCAAUGUUUAAAACCACAAGUAGAAGGUUUGGAUUCAUUUUAGGGGUUAUGGGGCCAAAGUUUUGGAAUUAAGGGACAAAAAGUGGUCAAAACAAGCAUUUUUCUAGUUUCAUUUCAAUAACUUAUGUGUAAUUGUAUGGAUCUCUCUGAAAUUGUACCACAAUGUACCAUAUAACAAAGGGAGGCUGGGAUUAAGUUUUGGGUUAAUUGCCCAAAUAUGUAGGAAUUAGGGGCCAAAAAGAAGCAAGUUUCUAGUUUCCAAACAAUCAUGACAAUAACUUUGUUUUUUAAGUGUAUGGAUCUCUCUGAAAUUGUACUACAAGGUUCAAUACUGCAAUGGAAAGCAUGGGAUUGAGUUUAAGGGUUAUUGCUCCAAGGGGGUUUCAAAAAGUUGUGGGUUUUUUUUUUUGUUUACCAUUUUUUGAAGGGCUUCCUUUUUUCAAAAUUUUUCAAAUUUCGAAUUUUGAAAAGUUUCAAGAAGAAAUCUUCAAUUGCACAGUAUUGUGCAAUAGAUUUGUUAGAUCUUUGACCACAUUAAUUUUGUGACAAAAACCUAUAUUAUGUAAAAAAUUUGAUCACAAUCCAAAUUCAGACAGAAUCAAGCUUGAAUAUUGUGACCAAAUUUGCCCCAACUGUUCAAGGUUCAACCACUGGGGUCGUAUAAAGCUGCGCCCUGGUUCCAUUUGUAAAGGGGCAUAACCCUAGAAUGGUAAUCAAAGUGCUUGUAAUCACUGAAUGGUAAAGAUUGCUUUAAUUUAUCAGUUGGUAGUAAAGUGAAUAUUGUCAUUUAUAUUGUAUAUAGCAUUGAUUUAAGUUGAUUCAACUACUAUUCUGGACAAAGAAAGAUAACUCCAAUUUUCAAAGAUUUCAUAAAGCAUUGGUUUUAGAUGAUUCAACAACCAUUCUGGACAAAAGAAAGAUAACUCCAAUUUAUUGUCUUGAAACUACAAAAAUGCUUGUUUUUGGCCCUUUAUUCCUAGACUGUUUGCCCCAUAACCCACAAAAUAUAUCCCAACCUUCUACUUAUGGUAUUAAACAUUGUGGUACAAUUUCAGAACAAUUGAAAUGCUUAUACACACCUUUUUGAACUGACACUAGAUAAAUGUUUGUGUUGGGCCCCUAAUUCCUAAACCUUAGGGACCAUAAGCCCCAAAAUCAAUCCCAAGCUUCCUUUUGUGGUUAUAAACAUUGUGUUAAAUUUUUUUCUAUUUCUAUUUACUAAUAAUAAAGUUAUUAUCUGGAAACCAUCCGUCUUCGGACGACGCUGACGACGACGUGAUACCAAUAUACGACCGCAAAAUUUUUGCGGUCGUAUAAAAAUUGGGGUACAGCUGUCAAAAUUAUGUUAUAACUUCAACUAUUACAUACACUUAACCUGAUCCAAGAAAAUGUGAUCAAGGUCAUAUAAACCCAUCUUUAAAUACAUUUACACUUUACCAUCAUUCAUAACACCAAAUGUGCAUGAAAUACAGUUGACCUAUUGCACAUCUUGGAAAAGAUCUUAAACAGGAAAACUUAACAUUGGUCAAUAAAUCAUGAAAAUCAGGCCAAGGUCAUAUGAAUCCUGCCAGACAGACAUGUUCAACUUACAAUGCAUAUAGUAUCUAAGAGACCCACAUGUAACCAAGAAAACUUAAGAUUGACCAAUGAACCAUGAUAAUGAGGUCAUGGUCAGGAGGUAAUUGCUAGAAAGACAUACCAACGAAGUCAAUCAUUUGCAUUGAUAGUUGUAUGACCAAAAUGUAGUUGACCUAUUUGUAAAAGAAGAAGAAAAAAAGAUAUCCAUAUGAUGAAGACAUAAUCUUUAUCAGUUUAAUUGAGGUCUGCAGCUGGCAUGUCAGUAACUGCUAGUAGUCCUUUGUUAAUUUAUGUAUCAUUGUCAUUUUGUUUAGUUUCUUUUGUUACCUAUUCUGACAUCAGACUUUUUUUAAACUGAGUUUCACUGUGUGUUUUGCUGUGCAUUUGUUUUUUCUACAUUGGCUAGCUAUAUAUAUAUAUAUAUAUAUAGAGGUAUAGGGGAAGGGUCGAGAUCUCAAAAAACAUGGUUUACACCCCUCCAUUUUUGCACCUGUCCUAAGUCAGGAGCCUCUGGCCUUUGUUAAGUCUUGUAUGUUUUUUUCAUUUUUGUUCAUUGAUAUGUUUUGUAGUUUAGUAUGACUUCCAUUUCCACUGAACUAGUAUACUUUUUUCAUUAAGGGGCCAGCUGAGGACCACCUCCAGGUGCAGGAUUUUCUCACUGCAUUGAAGACCCAUUGGUGGCCUUUGGCUGUUUUCUGCUCUUUGAUUGUGUUGGGUGUCCCUUUGACACAUUCCCCGUUUCAAUUCUCAAUUUUACAAAACAUAAACUUAACAUUGAACAAUGAAACGCAAAAAUGAAGUUUGCCAGACUGACAUGUACACCGCAACACCAAUACACCAAUUAUAGUUGACCUAUUGCAUACAGUAUUUGAAAAGAACUAAACAUGAGAUCAAGAUCAGAUGACAUCUGCCAGUUAGACAUGUGAACCUUACAAUCAUUCCAUACAACAAAUAAAGUUGACUAUUUGCAUACAGUAUUAGAACCAGAUGCUCCGCAGGGCGUAGCUUUAUACGACCGCAGAGGUUGAACCCUGAACGGUUGGGGCAAGUAUGGACACAACAUUCAAGCUGGAUUCAGCUCUAAAUUUGGAUUGUGAUUAAAUAGUUGACACAGCAUAGGUUUCUGACACAGAAUGAAUGUGUUCUAAUGAACUUAAAAAUUUUUGUUUUCUCUUAGAGCAAUUCACUAUGCUGUUGAAUAUUAAUCCUCUCAAAAAAAUGUUUGAAGAAAUUUUCUUUUUUAUUUAUGAAAUUUCAAAUGAGAAAAAUUGAACCCAAUUUUUUUAAUCACAUCCCCCUUUCCCUUAUUCCAAAACUAAUCUCAAUUAAAAUUUCUAAUGGAGUUUGCAACAAUAACUACUCAUUUAAAUACAUCAUAAAAUAUUAAGAUGUAAAAAAACUGCUUGUUAUCACUGAAUGGUAAAGAUUAUUUUAAUUUAUCAGUUGGUAGUAAAAAGUGAAUAUACAUUGUAUAUUG